GCCUAACACAUGCAAGUCGAACGGCAGCACAGGAGAGCUUGCUCUCUGGGUGGCGAGUGGCGGACGGGUGAGGAAUACAUCGGAAUCUACUCUGUCGUGGGGGAUAACGUAGGGAAACUUACGCUAAUACCGCAUACGACCUACGGGUGAAAGCAGGGGAUCUUCGGACCUUGCGCGAUUGAAUGAGCCGAUGUCGGAUUAGCUAGUUGGCGGGGUAAAGGCCCACCAAGGCGACGAUCCGUAGCUGGUCUGAGAGGAUGAUCAGCCACACUGGAACUGAGACACGGUCCAGACUCCUACGGGAGGCAGCAGUGGGGAAUAUUGGACAAUGGGCGCAAGCCUGAUCCAGCCAUACCGCGUGGGUGAAGAAGGCCUUCGGGUUGUAAAGCCCUUUUGUUGGGAAAGAAAUCCAGCUGGCUAAUACCCGGUUGGGAUGACGGUACCCAAAGAAUAAGCACCGGCUAACUUCGUGCCAGCAGCCGCGGUAAUACGAAGGGUGCAAGCGUUACUCGGAAUUACUGGGCGUAAAGCGUGCGUAGGUGGUCGUUUAAGUCCGUUGUGAAAGCCCUGGGCUCAACCUGGGAACUGCAGUGGAUACUGGGCGACUAGAGUGUGGUAGAGGGUAGCGGAAUUCCUGGUGUAGCAGUGAAAUGCGUAGAGAUCAGGAGGAACAUCCAUGGCGAAGGCAGCUACCUGGACCAACACUGACACUGAGGCACGAAAGCGUGGGGAGCA
This 735-nucleotide ribosomal RNA is filed under the name uncultured Pseudomonadota bacterium. Its description in RNAcentral is "bacterial SSU rRNA". It matches the Rfam family "Bacterial small subunit ribosomal RNA", at positions 46 to 770 of the family's 1533-position model. Lineage: Bacteria; Pseudomonadati; Pseudomonadota. The record is from RNAcentral.